UCUCGUGUUUUUAUAUUAUUUGUUUUAAAAAUAUAGAUAGCAAUCUCGAUGUAUUUUGCAGACUUGGAAUUAGAUUUGAAUACCACAAAGGUAUAUUCGAGAUAUGGAAAAUACCUUAGAGAAAUUUACUAAAGCCGAUUUCAGAAAUCACUUGCGUUUCUCAAAGUAAAUUGUGCAAAAUGUUUCGUUGCCAUUAAUCAAUCACCAGGAACAAAUAAAAAAUCGAGGACUUUAUGGUCUUUUCAUAACAGAUGAUUAAUGAAUUGUAUUGUCAGUCCCUAGUUGGUGAAAAAAAUCAAGCUUGUAUGUAUGAUGUGAUGAAAUAAUAAUAGUAAUUAACAAAG
Dendroctonus ponderosae (mountain pine beetle) is the source of this 344-nucleotide long non-coding RNA. RefSeq lists it as uncharacterized. NCBI's taxonomy places the organism in Eukaryota, Metazoa, Arthropoda, Insecta, Coleoptera, Curculionidae. The record is from RefSeq and is a predicted model, not a curated record. The transcript has 2 exons.